Molecule: long non-coding RNA, 562 nt
Filed under: Canis lupus dingo (dingo)
Lineage: Eukaryota; Metazoa; Chordata; Mammalia; Carnivora; Canidae
Description: lncRNA (ENSCAFG00020022892.1)
Source: RNAcentral
CCCCGGCUCACACCCCUCCCCCUCGCACGCCCUCCGGCCUCCCCCCGCGGCCCGCGGGGAGCCCGGUCCUCCCCGGCCGGCUCCUCCCGCCGCCCCCGUCCCCUUCCCCAUCGCGCCCCCCGCCGCCCCCUGCACCCCUCCCCGUUCGGCCCGCGAGGACUGGGCGGGGGCCGCCCGCAGUCGGGGACCCUUCUGCGCCGCGAGGAGGCCGGCCCAGUGUCGUAAAGCGCUCCGGAGAAUGACUGUCACCGGACAGACCGCCUCUGCACGACGUGAAGACUCGCUGUCGCUGUCGCUCGGGAGGAAGAAGGAGGGCUGCGGGAGCGAGCGCUGUCAGCAGCACAGGUGGCUCAGGUCCCAGGAAGCCAGUUGCAAACCAGAGUGUUGGGCUUGGGAAGAACCCAUCGUCCUUGGCCUGCAGGCCUGUGACUCCUACUCUUGCUGCUGAUUCUACAGACAGCCUCUUCCUCGAGUGUAUUUUCCCCCAGCAAUUACACUCCUCCACUGAAAUCUAAAUUUUCCAUACUGCUGCCUGCUACUAAUAAAAACCGUCUACCUUGCA